Molecule: long non-coding RNA, 1093 nt
Filed under: Homo sapiens (human)
Lineage: Eukaryota; Metazoa; Chordata; Mammalia; Primates; Hominidae
Description: HSALNT0159928
Source: RNAcentral
AUUCUAUUAGCUUUUACAGUAACCAGUGUGUAGAAAACACAAAUGACGGAAGUCAUUGCUUUUAAAGCCCUUCUCACAAAUGAAUUUCCUUUGGAGACGCAAUAUCCCAGGAGCAUAAUAGAUUUUCCUCUCCCUUCUUCCAUUUGAACAGACACGUUCACAGCUAACUAAUCAGUUGCAAUUCUAAUCUAUAUUUCUGAUUUGUUUACAUGCAUCAUGCAGGCUGGCAAUCUUUUGAAUUUAAAUGUGACUUAAAGUAAAAUAAAAUAAACCACAAGUAAAUGACACAGAAUUGCUAACAGUAGGAACUUUGUUUACAUUCCACAUUCUGAAAAUAUUUUGUUCAGCUGGCUAGGGAAACCACAUGGUGGAGACAGACUGGGUGAGGAUUUGGUUUACUGCCUGGCUGGAAUCAGGAUGGAAAAAGGGAUGGCAUGUGAUAUGGCUGUCUGUCACCUCAAAUCCAGAGAAAGAACACAUUCUCAGCACACAUGUGAUCUGUGCUUUAACAGAAGAGCUCUAAUAAUCCUAGCCAGAUCAUCACGUGCGCCUGGCACUGGGCCAGAACAAUAUGCCAGUCUAUUGGAGUAUUCAGAUAAUAACCGUCUCUUCAUUUCUGCAGUCAUCAGCAGGUGCUGCUUCGUACAUGACUCUCUUGGAGUCUGUUUGUUCUGCAAGUCCUUUGUUCCUGCCUACUUUCUGAAAUUAUCCUCUAAUACAGUCCUAUUUCUCCCUUCCCACCUACAUUUGAAGGUUUAUUGAGAGGCUUUCGUAUUCUUGUUGGUCUCGCUGCCUUUCCCAGAUGAUGACUCCAGCUCAAUUAAAUGAAACUUAGCAAUAGCUGAGGAAUGGUCACUAAAGGGACAAGAUGCAUUGAAAACACACAGAUGCCCUUUAACGUGGGCUCUGUCCUCCAGAGCAGAACAUUGCAGUGAAUGCACCUGUACCAGGGUGCAUCCUGGUACAAUUACUUGGUGUAAGAAAUGAGAAAGAAGGCAGGAAUGGAGAUGAAGACAGAAUUUAGAAGGGAAGAAUGAGAUUUUAGCAGGCCAGUUCUAAUAGCAGAUGCUCCUAAGAUGCAACUCAGAAAAUU